This 560-nucleotide ribosomal RNA is filed under the name Sanguinoderma rugosum. RNAcentral describes it as "partial small subunit ribosomal RNA". It matches the Rfam family "Bacterial small subunit ribosomal RNA", at positions 514 to 1041 of the family's 1533-position model. Lineage: Eukaryota; Fungi; Basidiomycota; Agaricomycetes; Polyporales; Polyporaceae. The record is from RNAcentral.
GACUCGGUAAGACCAGAGACGCAAACGUUAAUCAUCUUAAACAGGCGUAAAGGGUUUGUAGGCAGCUUUCAUGAUAUUAUUUCUUACAAAAAUAAAGAAGUGGUCUGAUUGAAAGCUAGAAUCAAAAAGAGGUUAUAGUGUAUAACGCCUAGAGGAGGGCUGAUAUCCUUAGAUCCUAGGCAGAAUACUUAGGGCGAAGGCCACUCUCCACUAAUGAUUGACGCUGAGAAACGAAGGUAAGGGUAGGAAAUAGGAUUAGAUACCCCGGUACUCCUUUCUGUAAACGAUGAAUGGUAGUCAUUAGUAAAAUUAAAAAUUACUAGAGACGAAGUUAACACAAUAACCAUUCCGCCUUGUGAGUACUACUGCAAAGUAGAAAACAAAAAAAUUAGUCGGUCUCGAAGCAAACGGAGUGAAGCAUGUUAUUUAAUACGAUAAUCCGCGUAAAACCUUACCAGAACUUGCAUACAAACUAUCUUUUUAUUUACUUUGUAAUAACAAGGCAAAUAAAAGGGUGGGAGUAUUUUAUACUUUUUUUUUAAAUACUUAAGUACAGGUGU